This 72-nucleotide transfer RNA is filed under the name Capra hircus (goat). It matches the Rfam family "tRNA". Rfam says of the family: Transfer RNA (tRNA) molecules are approximately 80 nucleotides in length. Their secondary structure includes four short double-helical elements and three loops (D, anti-codon, and T loops). Further hydrogen bonds mediate the characteristic L-shaped molecular structure. tRNAs have two regions of fundamental functional importance: the anti-codon, which is responsible for specific mRNA codon recognition, and the 3' end, to which the tRNAs corresponding amino acid is attached (by aminoacyl-tRNA synthetases). tRNAs cope with the degeneracy of the genetic code in two manners: having more than one tRNA (with a specific anti-codon) for a particular amino acid; and 'wobble' base-pairing, i.e. permitting non-standard base-pairing at the 3rd anti-codon position. The record is from Rfam by way of RNAcentral. Lineage: Eukaryota; Metazoa; Chordata; Mammalia; Artiodactyla; Bovidae. RNAcentral also lists the same sequence under 1 other name.
UCCCUGGUGGUCCAGUGGUUAGGACUCGGCGCUUUCACUGCCACAACCCUAGCUCAAUCCCUGGUUGGGGAA